GGAAUUGACGGAAGGGCACCACCAGGAGUGGGGCUUGCGGCUUAAUUUGACUCAACGCGGGAAAUCUCAUCAGGCCAAGACACUGGAAGGAUUGACAGAUUGAUAGCUCUUUCUUGAUUCGGUGGGUGGUGGUGCAUGGCCGUUCAUAGUUGGUGGGGUGACUUGUCUGGUUAAUUCCGAUAACGAACGAGAUUCAAGCCUACUAACUAGUCGAUACCGGCAUCCUUGGUGCAGCCGGCGACGGCAAAUCUUCUUAGAGGGACAAACGGCAUCUAGCCGUGCGAGACUGAGCAAUAACAGGUCUGUGAUGCCCUUAGAUGCUCUGAGCCGCACGCGUGCCACACUGAAGGGAUCAGCGUGUGUUUUCCUUGCCCGAGAGGGCCGGGUAACCCGUUGAACCCCCUUCGUGCUAGGGAUUGGCCCUUGCAAUUCUUGGCCACCAACGAGGAAUUCCCAGUAAGCUUGAAUCAUCAGUUCGAGUUGAUUAAGUCCCUGCCCUUUGUCCACACCGCCCGUCGCUACUACCGAUUGAAUGAUUUAGUGAGGUCUUCGGACCGGUGCGCGGCUUCCUCGCGGCAGCCGAUGACACCGGAAAGAUGACCGAACUUGAUUAUUUAGAGGAAGUAAAAGUCGUAACAAGGUUACCGUAGGU
RNAcentral lists this ribosomal RNA (652 nucleotides) under Homoeogryllus sp. MCJ-2002. RNAcentral describes it as "SSU rRNA". It matches the Rfam family "Eukaryotic small subunit ribosomal RNA", at positions 1149 to 1810 of the family's 1831-position model. The record is from RNAcentral. Lineage: Eukaryota; Metazoa; Arthropoda; Insecta; Orthoptera; Phalangopsidae.